Varanus komodoensis (Komodo dragon) is the source of this 1259-nucleotide long non-coding RNA. RefSeq lists it as uncharacterized. The record is from RefSeq and is a predicted model, not a curated record. The transcript has 2 exons. Lineage: Eukaryota; Metazoa; Chordata; Lepidosauria; Squamata; Varanidae.
GGAAGAAAAGGUGCAAUGGUUGCAGAAUGCCUUCAGAAAAUGCGAAGAUGACUCCAUUUGGAAGUGCAUUGACAUUAGAAAGAAAGCCUUCUGAGAAGGAGAAUUUGGAUAAGGAGACUUAAUAUCUUUAAAUGAAUAUAGGGAAUGACAUAACCUUCCUCAACCUGCUGACCUCCAGAUGGAUUAGGAUCACACUUCCCAUCACUCUCUUCAAGCAGUGCUCACUGAUCUAUCUGGCUGGGGAUACUGGAAGUUGUAGGAGCACACAGCUGGAAGGCAUUAGGUUGAAGAAGGAAGGCUGAUCAAGAACCCCAGCUGUUUCUUACUGCCUUCUUUGAAAGUGAAAUACUGUGUACGUCUACUGGCAUUUCCCAUUGCCUGCAAGAUGUUUCUGAAAAUGGUAGUUUUCAAAAGAGACAGGAAAUUCUUUAUGUGGAUGGAAUUUCAUUAGUAUGAUCAGAGAAGAUAAAUGAAGUUUGGAUGUUUGCAUCUUUCAUCCUUCUCAGAAUGAGUAGGAUGAAAUAGAUAUUCAGUAGAUCAAAUAGAUAUUCCUCAGAGUGUUUUCCUCACUUGUCUUCCUUUCACUUACUUUCCUUGUCUAGAUUCAGAUAGUAAGUUUUAACCAGGAUUCUGUUUUCUCCUAAAGAUCUGCAAACAUUUGUGAUAUGACAGUAACAAUUCUUGUUUAUCCUGGCAUGGAUCUAAACAGCAACUUAGGCUCAUGCAAGGGGUUUCUACUCACCCUGUGGAAUUCUAGACCAAUUUUUCUGUAAUCAUCUGACCCACGUGCCACAUUCCCAAGAUGUUUUUGAUUUAGAAGUGGCUUGCCUUGUGACAUGGGGAUCAUCUCUUAAAGCAAAAUAUAUCAAAAUCCUCCUUGUAUUUUGAUGAUGUGUUGUUAAAAACAGCACAUGGAAAUACUUCUAAUCUAGGUUUUAAAAUAAGUUAUAUCAUCAAAGUUGCAUCCCCAUUUAUUGUCAAGGAGAAAGUAGAUUUUCUCUACCUUCAUUUAAAAGUUUCGGUGUUAUUAACCUAAUAAUUUAGACCAGGGAUGGGGAGUAUAUGGUCCUCCAGUUGGUGAUGGACUGCAAUCCUCAACAUCUCUCACCAUUGGCUGUGACUGAUGGGGACUGCAGACCAACAACAUUGGGAGAGCUGUGCACUCCCAUUCCUACAUUGGAUGUGUACCUUAAAUACAAAUAAUUCACAUUCACAUGAAACAAUAAACCUUGGCAGGAUUUAUCCUUGCUUACUAUGAA